RNAcentral lists this ribosomal RNA (252 nucleotides) under uncultured bacterium. RNAcentral describes it as "partial 16S ribosomal RNA". It matches the Rfam family "Bacterial small subunit ribosomal RNA", at positions 524 to 776 of the family's 1533-position model. The record is from RNAcentral.
UACGAAGGGGGCUAGCGUUGCUCGGAAUCACUGGGCGUAAGGGUGCGUAGGCGGGUCUUUAAGUCAGGGGGGAAAUCCUGGAGCUCAACUCCAGAACUGCCUUUGAUACUGAGGAUCUUGAGUUCGGGAGAGGUGAGUGGAACUGCGAGUGUAGAGGUGAAAUUCGUAGAUAUUCGCAAGAACACCAGUGGCGAAGGCGGCUCACUGGCCCGAUACUGACGCUGAGGCACGAAAGCGUGGGGAGCAAACAGG